AUUGAACGCUGGCGGCAUGCCUUACACAUGCAAGUCGAACGGCAGCACGGGAGCAAUCCUGGUGGCGAGUGGCGAACGGGUGAGUAAUAUAUCGGAACGUGCCCGGUCGUGGGGGAUAACGUAGCGAAAGCUACGCUAAUACCGCAUACGAUCUACGGAUGAAAGCGGGGGAUCGCAAGACCUCGCGCGAUUGGAGCGGCCGAUAUCAGAUUAGGUAGUUGGUGAGGUAAAGGCUCACCAAGCCGACGAUCUGUAGCUGGUCUGAGAGGACGACCAGCCACACUGGGACUGAGACACGGCCCAGACUCCUACGGGAGGCAGCAGUGGGGAAUUUUGGACAAUGGACGCAAGUCUGAUCCAGCCAUUCCGCGUGCAGGAUGAAGGCCCUCGGGUUGUAAACUGCUUUUGUACGGAACGAAAAGGUUUCUAUUAAUACUAGGAGCUCAUGACGGUACCGUAAGAAUAAGCACCGGCUAACUACGUGCCAGCAG
This 491-nucleotide ribosomal RNA is filed under the name uncultured bacterium. RNAcentral's name for it is "bacterial SSU rRNA". It matches the Rfam family "Bacterial small subunit ribosomal RNA", at positions 30 to 514 of the family's 1533-position model. The record is from RNAcentral.